RNAcentral lists this ribosomal RNA (216 nucleotides) under uncultured Streptococcaceae bacterium. RNAcentral's name for it is "partial 16S ribosomal RNA". It matches the Rfam family "Bacterial small subunit ribosomal RNA", at positions 125 to 334 of the family's 1533-position model. Lineage: Bacteria; Bacillati; Bacillota; Bacilli; Lactobacillales; Streptococcaceae. The record is from RNAcentral.
CCGUAGCCUGGUAGCGGGGGAUAACUAUUGGAAACGAUAGCUAAUACCGCAUAACAGUAGAUAUCGCAUGAUAUUUGCUUGAAAGGUGCAAUUGCACCACUAGCAGAUGGACCUGCGUUGUAUUAGCUAGUUGGUGAGGUAACGGCUCACCAAGGCAACGAUACAUAGCCGACCUGAGAGGGUGAUCGGCCACACUGGGACUGAGACACGGCCCAG